UAGCUAGUUGGUGAGGUAAAGGCUUACCAAGGCGACGAUCUGUAGCGGGUCUGAGAGGAUGAUCCGCCACACUGGAACUGAGACACGGUCCAGACUCCUACGGGAGGCAGCAGUGGGGAAUUUUGGACAAUGGGGGCAACCCUGAUCCAGCCAUGCCGCGUGAGUGAAGAAGGCCUUCGGGUUGUAAAGCUCUUUCGGCCGGGAAGAAAUCGCAUGGGCCAAUACCCUGUGUGGAUGACGGUACCGGAAUAAGAAGCACCGGCUAACUACGUGCCAGCAGCCGCGGUAAUACGUAGGGUGCGAGCGUUAAUCGGAAUUACUGGGCGUAAAGCGUGCGCAGGCGGUUUUGUAAGACAGGCGUGAAAUCCCCGGGCUUAACCUGGGAACUGCGUUUGUGACUGCAAGGCUAGAGUACGGCAGAGGGGGUGGAAUUCCACGUGUAGCAGUGAAAUGCGUAGAGAUGUGGAGGAACACCAAUGGCGAAGGCAGCCCCCUGGGUCGAUACUGACGCUCAUGCACGAAAGCGUGGGUAGCAAACAGGAUUAGAUACCCUGGUAGUCCACGCCCUAAACUAUGUCAACUAGGUGUUGGGUGGGUAAAACCAUUUAGUACCGUAGCUAACGCGUGAAGUUGACCGCCUGGGGAGUACGGCCGCAAGGUUAAAACUCAAAGGAAUUGACGGGGACCCGCACAAGCGGUGGAUGAUGUGGAUUAAUUCGAUGCAACGCGAAAAACCUUACCUACCCUUGACAUGCCAGGAACUUGCCAGAGAUGGCUUGGUGCCCGAAAGGGAGCCUGGACACAGGUGCUGCAUGGCUGUCGUCAGCUCGUGUCGUGAGAUGUUGGGUUAAGUCCCGCAACGAGCGCAACCCUUGUCGUUAAUUGCCAUCAUUUAGUUGGGCACUUUAGCGAGACUGCCGGUGACAAACCGGAGGAAGGUGGGGAUGACGUCAAGUCCUCAUGGCCCUUAUGGGUAGGGCUUCACACGUCAUACAAUGGUCGGUACAAAGGGUUGCCAAGCCGCGAGGCGGAGCCAAUCCCAGAAAGCCGAUCGUAGUCCGGAUUGCAGGCUGCAACUCGCCUGCAUGAAGUCGGAAUCGCUAGUAAUCGUGGAUCAGCAUGUCACGGUGAAUACGUUCCCGGGUCUUGUACACACCGCCCGUCACACCAUGGGAGCGGGUUCCGCCAGAAGUAGGUAGCCUAACCGCAAGGGGGGCGCUUACCACGGCGGGGUUCGUGACUGGGGUGAAGUCGUAACAAGGUAGCCGUAGGGGAACCUGCGGCUG
RNAcentral lists this ribosomal RNA (1286 nucleotides) under metagenome. RNAcentral describes it as "bacterial SSU rRNA". It matches the Rfam family "Bacterial small subunit ribosomal RNA", at positions 242 to 1520 of the family's 1533-position model. The record is from RNAcentral.